Molecule: non-coding RNA, 1549 nt
Organism: Miniopterus natalensis
Lineage: Eukaryota; Metazoa; Chordata; Mammalia; Chiroptera; Miniopteridae
Source: RefSeq, a predicted model, not a curated record
GUUGCAUCCUGCACAGGGAUUGAGCCUGCAACCGAGGUGGCAAUUAAUGACUUGGAGAGGAAAAAAAAAUCUACCCUCUUCCCCCCACCCCCCAUCUCCUCCACCCUGAAAGAUACGUGCAUUUUCUCUGCCUUAAGGUAAGAAUUCUCUUAAGGAUAAUCUUCUCUUUCCUACUUUGUUUUGCCCUAGUGAAUUUACAUUCACCUUUUCCUUUAAUUGUUAAGAAUAAUACAUACAAAUCCAACGCAGGCUGCUAGAGCUAGAGAAGAACAGAUCGUAUCUUUUAAAGAGGGUGGUUUCCAAGCAGAGUGUAUGUUCAUGAGUGAUAUAGAGUAGGAAGUUGCUAUAAUUUCCCUGCAAGAUUUUUUUUUUUCAAUUUUAGUAAAGAAAAAUUUCCUGUGAAAGGAAUUACAACGGGCCCACACUAACAUUAUGCCAAGUGUAGUAUAAUUAAAUAUAAAACAAAAAUGAAGAAAAAAAGUACUUUUAAAGACAUAAAAGCAAUUUCAAUGGGGUGAAAUUGCUCUUUCAAAAAGUGAACUGGAGGGAAAACAAUAGAACAAUUGUUCACUGUAGUCACAGAGUGGCACAAUAUAAAGAACAAUUUUUUUUCAGACAACAUAUCCAGAUAUAUCUAUUCCUAGGGAAAUUAUUUAAAGACUACACAUAGUUGUUGGGUUUUUUGUAUUUAUAGGUCUAGUGAAUCUGUUCUAUAUCCUUUUAAAAUAUGUUGAAUUGUGUACUUUGCUUUUUGUGACUUUCUUUACCAAAAGAAUAUAUGUAAUGAGAAUUUGUUUCGUAUAAAGUUCAAAAUAUCAAAAUCCCUGUUCAAAGAAGACUCUCAGUUUGAGUCUUAAACCAAAAAGACUCUCCCUAGGCUGAACUUAAUGAAGCCUAACACCAAAAAGAAAAGCUGUUUCUGGCAUUCUAGGCCUUCCCUGCAUCCAGAUGGCCUGUCUGUAGCCUAGCCAGAACCAAACCCUUCCUGCUGCCUUUUCAAGCUGGCCUUGGAUGACAGCCCCAGGCUACACCAGCUUCCAUACCCCCUUAACUCUUCAGUGUCCAAAAUUUUUAAGAAGAUAUGGGACUUCCAAUGUGAAUUUUGUUGAAAGGGUAAAUCAAGUUUUAAGCUUGAAGUUUAGUUUAUAAAAUAUUUAUCCACACCACCUCUCCCUUCCCCUCCCCUCCCAUAGGCUUUCUCCCAAAGUAGCUCAGUCAGCCAAUUGGCAUCAGAGGAGCACCGUUUGGAAGGGAGUGUGUGUGGGCAGCUUGCAGGUGAGAACAGGGCUGCCAAGGCAGACCAUGCGGUUUGUCCUGUGCCUACACCCAAUACCUGACUUGUGCCUUUCCAGAGCAUUUGUAUACACACAGCAGAACUGCUGUUCAAGGUGUGGAUAAUUUUUAAAAAUAUUUUUUAAAAUAACUCAUUGACAAGAUUUUGAUUCAGCAAAAGAGAAUGUACAUGGGAGAUAUAAAAUGACCAUGCAUGGAAUUAAAUGAGAACUUCUCUGAAGUAGUUGUGCCAGAAAAAUAAAUCUGUAUGUUUUAA